UUCGGGGAGUCGGGGGCCGCCGCCGUCCAGGCGUCGGGGGCAGCACUGGUGCUCCGCCGGCGCCGCCUGAAGUGGACAUCGGUGGGGAAGGGCUCACCGAACUCAUUCACUCGGCUUGAAGAAGUAGACCAGCAGUUGAAGUAGAAGAAUCCCCUGUGUGGCACUUACAGCAGUUGCUUUCUUCUGCAUUUCUCAGAUAAGAGGCAAUUCAAGCAACUUUUGUUCAGGAUUAGAUUUGUUUUGUGUACUUUUCAGGCACCCUGAGGGAAAAGGAAGAUAAUAUCCUUAUCUGAGUUUAUUUUGUUUUGUUGUACAGUUUUGAAAGGUCUCUGUAAAAAUUUAAGACAUCCUUUAGAUCUAAAUGUACUUAAGUGUUGUCUUCUACCCCUUCCUCAAAUCAAACCCCCCAGCCUUGGUUUAAAAGGUUUUUAAACCUUUAAAACCCAUAAGGAAGGCAAAUGAGAAGUUUGGAAGUUCCGUUUGCACUUCCAUAGAAAAUGUCAAAGUUCUUUACAUUCUUCGCUCAACUUUGGGACAAGGCACAGAAAUGUUGGUAUUUGCUGCAGAAAGGGAAAGUUUUGAAAUAAAAAUCAAUUCAGAAUCCACUUCUGGGCAAAAUGGCACCUCCUGACUCUUCAAAACAACUGGUGGAGUCCUACAAACCUCAAAUAUUUAGAGUCAAUUAUUAAUUUUUGUAUGAUGAAUGUAAAAGAGUAAAUAAAGCAUCAUCUACAAAGUCACGCA
This is a non-coding RNA of Lonchura striata (white-rumped munia), 744 nucleotides long. NCBI's taxonomy places the organism in Eukaryota, Metazoa, Chordata, Aves, Passeriformes, Estrildidae. The record is from RefSeq and is a predicted model, not a curated record.